GGAUUGACGAGAUUGGAAGUAAGAGCUUUGAAACGGCAUGCUCUGAUAAAACCCAACAUGGCGCUGAGAGAUACGACCGAGCUGAAUGCAUUUCUGGAGUCCGCGGACCUCGCCACCUGUAUCCUUGCGCACUGCUAAACUGUACGUUACCAGCCGCUGGGACGUUCUAUAAAGGAUGAUUGGAAACCUUAUUCUAGGGAUUUGUCACACUAAGUCGAUUUUGACGGCAUUUUCUCUCGUCUGGAAACAUAUUGACAUAUUACUGUGAAAAAGUAUUGUGCGAGUGUAAAGGAAAAACUAUAACACAUUGUUUAAUUGACUGACAAGUAAAUAACCCUUUAGCCACACUUCUGCUGAUUUAUAUCCAACGGUUUGAAUAUUCGCUGGCCCGGGAUGUCUAUGCUUUUAUAACGGAAUCGUAACCUCCACGCACGAAUAUUUGCUCAGAGCCGGGAACAACUUGGAAAAACGGGAAAAGGAAAGUCGGAAAUAGAGGAUAUUGACCAGAGCGCUGGUCGGUUGGAGGUGUUUUAAGACGGACUGUCCCAUGAGGGGAUGACAUGCUCUCCGCUACACAGAUGUACGGAACGGUUCCCCCAUGGAUGAGUCACGAGAGGGCCCAAAUGUAUGGGAUGGUCAUGGAGGAGAGGAGAGUACCUGUUAGUGAUGCGGGGACCCAGAGAAACCUGGAUUUAAGAGAAGGCAACCACAUCACACAAAGCAUGGUGCGUCAUCCAUGUAUAAGAUGUGUAUUAGUGUUAUAACACUGUUUAUAAUAAGGUUAAGAGAC
RNAcentral lists this long non-coding RNA (790 nucleotides) under Salmo trutta (river trout). RNAcentral describes it as "lncRNA (ENSSTUG00000002376.1)". The record is from RNAcentral. Lineage: Eukaryota; Metazoa; Chordata; Actinopteri; Salmoniformes; Salmonidae.